UACGGGGGGAGCAAGCGUUGUUCGGAAUUACUGGGCGUAAAGGGCGCGUAGGCGGCGUGACAAGUCACUUGUGAAAUCUCCGGGCUUAACUCGGAACGGUCAAGUGAUACUGUCGUGCUAGAGUACAGAAGGGGCAACUGGAAUUCUCGGUGUAGCGGUGAAAUGCGUAGAUAUCGAGAGGAACACCUGCGGCGAAGGCGGGUUGCUGGGCUGAUACUGACGCUGAGGCGCGAAAGCCAGGGGAGCGAACGGG
This 253-nucleotide ribosomal RNA is filed under the name uncultured bacterium. RNAcentral describes it as "partial 16S ribosomal RNA". It matches the Rfam family "Bacterial small subunit ribosomal RNA", at positions 524 to 776 of the family's 1533-position model. The record is from RNAcentral.